This 62-nucleotide transfer RNA is filed under the name Afrocayratia gracilis. Its description in RNAcentral is "Cayratia gracilis partial tRNA-Phe". Lineage: Eukaryota; Viridiplantae; Streptophyta; Magnoliopsida; Vitales; Vitaceae. The record is from RNAcentral.
UAUUUUUAAUUGACAUAGACCAAGUCCUCUAGUAAAAUGAGGAUGAUGCAUCGGGAAUACCC